UGGAGAAGCACACACCUCCUCGUCGGCGUCGGCGCCCCAGAGCAGCGGGAGCAGCAGACAACUCCCCCGCUAAAUCCUCCUCUUUGCCCCCACCGACAGCAACAACAACAGAAGGAGAAGAGAAACAAGAGGAGGCAACGAACCGGAGGAUCCAUCUACGCUCACCGGCAAGGAGGCGGCAGGAGCAGCGGGCAAGGACAGCGGCACCAGUGGCUCACGAGAAGUAGGCGAUGGAGACCUUGGCGAGGAGCACGAGGGAGGAGGGGAGCGGCCCCGGCGCCGGCAGCGACGGGGAGCUGGGCGGAGGACGGCGUCGAAGAGGCGCGGCGAGAUCACCCCCGACGCCCCCUUGACCUCACCGACAACCCCGCAAAAAUAGAUCUAUUGUUAUUUGUUGUCGAUGUCACCAUGGAGUGGUAG
Molecule: long non-coding RNA, 420 nt
Filed under: Oryza sativa tropical japonica subgroup
Lineage: Eukaryota; Viridiplantae; Streptophyta; Magnoliopsida; Poales; Poaceae
Description: lncRNA OsCMeo_09g0014980
Source: RNAcentral